GAUGAACGCUGGCGUCGUGCCUAAUACAUGCAAGUCGAGCGAACGGACGAGAAGCUUGCUUCUCUGAUGUUAGCGGCGGACGGGUGAGUAACACGUGGAUAACCUACCUAUAAGACUGGGAUAACUUCGGGAAACCGGAGCUAAUACCGGAUGAUAUUUUGAACCGCAUGGUUCAAAAGUGAAAGACGGUCUUGCUGUCACUUAUAGAUGGAUCCGCGCUGCAUUAGCUAGUUGGUAAGGUAACGGCUUACCAAGGCAACGAUGCAUAGCCGACCUGAGAGGGUGAUCGGCCACACUGGAACUGAGACACGGUCCAGACUCCUACGGGAGGCAGCAGUAGGGAAUCUUCCGCAAUGGGCGAAAGCCUGACGGAGCAACGCCGCGUGAGUGAUGAAGGUCUUCGGAUCGUAAAACUCUGUUAUUAGGGAAGAACAGAUGUGUAAGUAACUGUGCACAUCUUGACGGUACCUAAUCAGAAAGCCACGGCUAACUACGUG
Molecule: ribosomal RNA, 497 nt
Filed under: uncultured bacterium
Lineage: Bacteria
Description: partial 16S ribosomal RNA
Rfam family: Bacterial small subunit ribosomal RNA
Source: RNAcentral